Non-coding RNA from Schistosoma curassoni, 45 nucleotides. The record is from Rfam. NCBI's taxonomy places the organism in Eukaryota, Metazoa, Platyhelminthes, Trematoda, Strigeidida, Schistosomatidae.
AUUCAACUGACGGAUCCCAAGCAGGACGAAACACGCGUCCUGGAU